ACUUUUGCCACGCAGCGGCGCACACGUUCUCUCCGGAGUGGAAGAAAAAGUAUAACAAAAAUUAUAAAUUUAACUGUGCACAAACAAUAAUACAUAAUAAAAUAAAUAAAAGUAUUAUUAAUACAAAAGUAUACUAAAUAAAUAGUAACAAAUAAAUAAGUAACAAAUAAAACAAUAAAAUACAAGUUUUCUUCUUCUUCGUUGCUGAACGAGCUGCCGAAGCUGCUGCUUUCUUACGCCAGAUGGGGUGUAGUGCGCUGGCGACAUCUAUUGCUUGUUCUGCUCCGUGUGAACAUCUUCAUGUGCAGUUUUAGAGUCAUUGCAUCUCCUUAACUCUGUUAUUUAGCAGACGGACUACUGUUAAAAAUACAACUUUAACGAUUCACUCGAAUGUAUUCAAAUAUCUACAAAAAUGUGAAAAUGUCAAUUCGAUUAUUAUCCAUAAUUUUGUGUUAUUUUUACAGCUUCAGAAAUUGUGGCCUAGAGGCCACACUUGUUUAAGUGUGUAGUCACAGGACCUUGUAUGGUCUUUACAGUCUCUGAGAUUAAUAGUCACGGGUACCUAUAAGCAUUUCUUUCAUGAGUACUUACAGUUUCUUGAUACCAAAGUGGCCAUAUGGUUAAAUUUAAUUUCUAAUACUAUUAUAAUACCUACAAAUACACAGACAUUUUCCAUAAAAACGCUUCCAAAUAUAUUAACUUUGUUUAACAAACACACACAUGCAUUUUCCCACUGCCACGUUCAUCAUUUGACCACAUUGAUUGGCGACCAUCCAGCAACUUGCGAGGGGUCAACUGAGCAUAUUGCCAAUCAGAGACUUCGAUUCAAUUUCCUCGACUUGCCAGAGAGACGAUAAUGGGAAUGGAGCAUAAAAGCCAAGUGCGGGUGUUGCAACGCAAACGAUUCAUUCAAAAUCGGAGCAAUCAAGGCAUCACAUCAGGAUCAGGCCAAGACAACAAAAUUACUUUGAGCAUCGUUAGGACCACAACUCUGACUCCGACUUGCAGUCUCCUUCGUAUUGUCUGGGGGAAAUGCCCGAUCAGAAAGGGCAAGACUGCCCCCGUCACAGGGCUGAUGAAGGGGAAAAACAUGAAAAUCAUCUUUCGUGGCAGGCAGCAUCGAAACACCAAGACACCAAUCGCAAUCAGGUGAGGUGGAAGGUGGGAGGUGGAUGACGCGGCGUCCAGGCUGCAUAUGUGAGGCUGUCCGGUCCAGGCCCGGCCAAGUCUUUCACGUGCGGAGAGACAACCCAAAGAAGAAGACUCUCGACUGCUUUUUAUUUUGCUGCCGGCGCUGUCCACAAAUGCAAUACACGCAACGCUGCCAUGGCGGAGCAUCCAGUUCGACAUCAACUGGUUUUCUGCAUCCAGCCCCCUCCAACCCACCACGCAGCACUCACGAACCUUUUCAAUGUGAAAAUCAUAUAAAGAUUUUGAAACCAUUUUGAGUUGCAACUAUUUAGGACAGUAAAACAUUUAAUGCCAUUUAUCUUAUUAAUAUGAACACUAAGGAGAGUCAAAAUUGAGUAUCUACUGUAUUAAUAUUUGAGUUCGUAACACCUACUAUAAAUGUAUAUAUUAUUUGUUGGACAAUGGAAACUUUUCUCACACAAGGCACCUCCUUAAGCGCCUCGUCUAAGCUGUUGCAAGAGCAAUGCAAACACACAGUUUGCUCGCUCAGUUUUAGCUCCGUUCUGAUUCCGUCUCUGUCUCUGUAGCUGUCCUUAUUUUCCUGUCCGUCUGUUGAUGUUCCUGUCUCCGGCUCAUUGUUCGUCUCGGUUCAGUUUGGUUUGGUUCCGUAAAUUACACUUUUGAUUUUUAGUGGCCGUAAAAUAAUCGUAAAUGUCGUGGUUAUUGCGACCGAAAGUGCCCAUUUUGAGUGCUGCUGCUGCUGCUUUCUGUUGCUCCUCCGUAUCACCCCUCUAUAACUGAUAUUUCAGCCAACUCGGUGCAGUGUGCGGACAUGGGACGGCCACCAAGUUGGUUGGGAACGUGCUGCCACUGCACAAGCAGCACGAAUCCCUCCACUCCCCUGCCCACUCUAUCCCCGCGGGGGGCACGUUGCACUUGUUGUUUUUAAUAAGUUUGUGGCGGUUGUUGUUCCUGGCUUUCUUCUGCCUGGCUGAUGCUCCCUUGAUGUUUCGAUUAAGUUCGGAGUUCGCUUCGUCGAACUGGUUGGAUGGGUCUGAGUCUGAGUCUGAGUCUGGCCUGUCCCUGCCACAGCCACUGCUUCUUCCUCCCUCUCUGAGGGAGCAGUUUGGCUUAAGUUUAUGGCCAUUUCGUUCGUUUCACUGUCUUGCGGUUUCGAUGUUGCUUGUGGGGCUUGGCCGUUCCUCUGCCUGUGGAGCUGCCGUCGAGCUGAUUUUCUUGAGCAUUUCACCCAUUUACCUUUAUAUAUUUCGGCUUGUUCAAGACAUUUUCUCACAUCGCAGCUCACGGGGCUCCUCUGCCACACGGCUCUUCGUCUCUGACGCAACUGGUUGCCCAUUGGCCCGCCAGCUCUCUUCUCUACCACGCUCCAUGCACUCUACACUCAAAAAUUUCGAAUUUGAUUUUAUUGUUAUGAUUUCAAUUGUUUUCCCAAUGUAAACACUGGAGAGUGCCAGCACAGAGAGGGCCAACAUGUCGGGUUUUCGGUUAAAUAAUGCUCGAUUUUUAUGAUAGUUUCAAGUUCUACGCGAAUCGUUAGUCAGAGUCUACUUAGGUUGAACGAGGACGAGGCCCGCAAGCUCCUUUGAGGCAGAUUUUCAAACGCUCCAAAUCGACUUUAGCUGGGAGAAACUUUCAUCUUGCAAAUGAGCGAAGAAAGCACAAAUUUCUACCAUUUACCUACCAUGCAAAUUAUUAAAUUAUUCUCAUCUAAUGAUGCAUUUGUCCUACGACUGCCCAGAGGACGGCCUGAUUUAUAGAUUCUAAGUACUGCUUAUCCACCUUAUUAGCAUUCUCAGAUCAUUUCUAUACAAGUCACAUUAGAACGCCCAAUUUCACGAGAACAAUUAUGGGCUGGGCCGCCGGAGGUGAUCAUAAUACCAAUAUGCUCCGGCUAGGCCCUGGCAGGACCCGAAGGUCGAAAGAAAGAAUGAACGAGACGGGACGAUCGGCGUUGAGGGGUCCGGUGCGGACUGGAAACCAAAUCAAUUCAUAAAUCAUAAAAAUGUGUCAUAAAAAAUAUUUGUGUCGCCUUCAAUAAUAACAGCCAUAAAUGGAAAUGGCAGUGGAAACGGAAAAACAACAGCCACAGCCAGGCAGGAGUAUGAAGCUGCCUUUCAACAUGUCCUCGAGAAAGUAAAAAACGCUCAAGGCAAAAGGAGAAGGGAGAAGACUUGUUGGGUGACCUUAGGAGAUUUGUUUUGACUUCUAUCCGAGGCCUGUUAUCGCAUCUCGCCAGAGCCACAACGAUCCCAAAAGAGGACACACAGGACACGGCACAAAUACGUUGGUAUUGUCUGCCUUUGCCAGUUCGAUUAUUGCCGCCUCGGUAAUAAAUCAUAAAAAUAUGUUUAGUCGCAGAGAUGUGAGUAGGGAAUGCUGCCUCGUUACACGGUGGAAUUGGAAUUGUAAAUCCCCUGUAAAAUUGCUCUCGCCCUGCUCUGUAUGCUCAACUCUGCGGUGGUGGCAUCUCUCCAGCAUGGUAUCCCUCUGUAGGUACGACGAUCGCGCCCUCGAGCAUCUGAUAACAAAACCACCAGCAUGGCCAAUGCCCAUGGAAACAAAGGCCAGCAACUUUCUCUUUGGCAUCAUCUGAUUUGGGCCGCAUUCAUCCUCGAGCGUUGCCUUGCCAAAUAUGAGCAUUUUGAUUUAUUUUCGAAAUAUUCUCUCCUCUGAAGAUUUAUUGAUGUGCUGUUGUCAGUAAGAGGCGCCUGGAAUUGUGUUCCUGUGUUCUCCUGUAUCUGCAUUGAAAUUGCGAACUGGAAAGUAGGGGCUGAGCAUUAACACCAUAUUUGUAGCUUAAUAACUUGGCUGAUAAGGCCCCCAAUUAUACAUAAUAUCAUCCAUUAUAAUUUUAAUAAACUCUUGCCUUUGUUUCUUUCUAAUCCGCAGCACAUUAACACUUCCCAUUGGACAGAGAUGGCUUCAUUUUCAGGCCAUGCACGCCAUAUGCAACUUGAGUCGUCUUGCCACAGAUGUCAGUGCUGUACUUGCAGUUGCACCCGCUCAUUCUCAGGGCUGGCUCCACAUGAUUUACUACAAGCAGAUGAUUUAAUGUAACCGCACAUACAUACGUACACGAUACACGAACAUGGGGCAGGCCACUUCAGAUCCAGCCCAGCCCAGACACCCCACAUGUGUUGCAACCGAAGCGUUGCAGCAGUUGAAAGAAGAACCCCGAGACGGCAGUGACGGUGUCCUCCAUCUUGAAAACUGAUGCUUCGAUGAAGCGGCAGAGGAUUCCAUUUAGCAGCGAGAGGUUGAUGAAACAGCAAAUAAACAAAAUCUAAGUAGAAUCUUACAUGUACGCCAACCCUUUCCCGGAAGAGUGCGUUAAUCAGGGUGUCAACGAGCUGCGACCUUGCCGAGAGAGUCCAUUCAGAUGCUGGCCAAAAUACAACAUCAAAACAAAUCGUUAAAAUGCAAUAAAACUCUCAGAGAUGGAGGAGUCCGCAUCCAUAUGCAAUCACUAAACAAGAGCCAAGGCAAAUGCAUUCGAAUAAAAUUUUACCACCAUUUCCUCGAGCAUCAUCAGCAGCAGGAGCAUCAUCAAACUAACGGCGGCAACAUCCGAGGCACCUCAUAAAAGUAAUGACGUCUAUGGCCCAUCAGCAUCUGAUAGAAGCUGAUAGAUACAUUUGUAUCUGCGCACGGAGGCGAGCGGAGGGAUAUCACAAUAAUUAUGGCAUACGUCACGGAACUUGGGUUUUUAUAUCUUUUAUAUUGAUUGUCAUCGUGUCACACUAACAGAUCGUAAAAAAGUCGUAAAAUCCGAAGACUCUCGCUCUGACUCUGCUCCUGUCCGGGCCAAUGGAUGGGCGAGUGAGUGCAUUACCAGAGUGAGCGAUGAAGUCCUCAUCCCUUGGGCUCACAAAACACUCAGGAUCGGGCAGGACCUCAAGCCGACUCCAACUCACACAGGGACAAGCGGAUGAUGAUGAGCUGGAUCGUUACCGUUCUGAGCUCUCAGUUCUGAGUGAUUUUCAGUCUCUGCCGCUCGAGGGGAAGUGGCGUCAAGUCGUAAAAAGGCCAUAAAAUGCUUGGCCUCUGUGUUGGUACUAACCGCAAUUUGUUUAUAUUGUUGUUAAAAUGCCGUUCCAUCUUGUUCUGCUUAGCAUUUAAUUGUCGACUGCCAGCUUUUCUUUUUACGAGCCAAUAAAAUCUAUUUAAC
RNAcentral lists this long non-coding RNA (5320 nucleotides) under Drosophila guanche. Lineage: Eukaryota; Metazoa; Arthropoda; Insecta; Diptera; Drosophilidae. The record is from RNAcentral.